This 274-nucleotide ribosomal RNA is filed under the name uncultured bacterium. RNAcentral describes it as "partial 16S ribosomal RNA". It matches the Rfam family "Bacterial small subunit ribosomal RNA", at positions 523 to 796 of the family's 1533-position model. The record is from RNAcentral.
AUACGGAGGGUGCAAGCGUUAUUCGGAAUCACUGGGCGUAAAGGACGCGUAGGCGGGUUGGCAAGUCAGAUGUGAAAUCCUACAGCUUAACUGUAGAACUGCAUUUGAAACUGCUAACCUAGAGUACGGGAGGGGGAGAUGGAAUUAGUGGUGUAGGGGUAAAAUCCGUAGAUAUCACUAGGAAUACCGAAAGCGAAGGCGAUCUCCUGGAACAUAACUGACGCUAAGGCGUGAAAGCGUGGGGAGCAAACAGGAUUAGAAACCCUAGUAGUCC